Molecule: ribosomal RNA, 393 nt
Filed under: uncultured bacterium
Lineage: Bacteria
Description: partial 16S ribosomal RNA
Rfam family: Bacterial small subunit ribosomal RNA
Source: RNAcentral
AUACGGAGGAUGCGAGCGUUAUCCGGAUUUAUUGGGUUUAAAGGGAGCGUAGGUGGGAUAUUCAGUCAGCUGUGAAAGUUUGGGGCUCAACCUUAGAAUUGCAGUUGAUACUGGUUUCCUUGAGUACGGUAUAGGUGGGCGGAAUUCGUGGUGUAGCGGUGAAAUGCUUAGAUAUCACGAAGAACUCCGAUCGCGAAGGCAGCUCACCGGGCCGAAACUGACACUGAUGCUCGAAAGUGCGGGUAUCAAACAGGAUUAGAUACCCUGGUAGUCCGCACAGUAAACGAUGAAUACUCGCUGUUUGCGACACACUGUAAGCGGCCAAGCGAAAGCGUUAAGUAUUCCACCUGGGGAGUACGCCGGCAACGGUGAAACUCAAAUGAAUUGACGGGG